This is a long non-coding RNA of Eurytemora carolleeae, 2665 nucleotides long. RefSeq lists it as uncharacterized. The record is from RefSeq and is a predicted model, not a curated record. The transcript is spliced from 2 exons. NCBI's taxonomy places the organism in Eukaryota, Metazoa, Arthropoda, Copepoda, Calanoida, Temoridae.
UUUUUCGAGUAUUAAGGGUUUAUUUUGUCGUUAAAGAUUAGAGAUAAUCUAAUAUGAUAUGGGACGCUCUGUAGGUCUAAUCUUAUAGGUCUAUUCUUAAAGAUCUAUUCUUAUAGGUCUAUUCUUAUAGGUCUAUUCUUAUAGGUCUAUUUUUAUGUAGGUAUAUUCUUAAAAGAAAUCAGAGAUGGUGCUGAAUUCACAUAGACUCGAACCUACUUUACCUAAAGCAAUUAGUUUAAUCUUUCUACACAAAACUGUAAAAAAAUCUACAGAGGUCAGAACUUGUGUAAAUAGCGCUAAUCCACAACUUAUAAUUUGAGGCUUUAUUUGCACAAAGUGACCCAUAUAACAUCUCCCCUUAGCCACAAUCGGAUUUAUUGUCUUCUGAUUGAUAUAAUUUGUUAGCUUGAAGUGAAUUUCCCUAAAAGUCUAAAGAUUUAUAACGGGCGCGUAAAAUGGAUAGAAUUUUUUUAAAGCAAUUUUUUCUUAACAAUUGCAUAAUAUCUUGUUUUGUUCAGGGAUGAAGACGACAUUAGCAUACAAUGCCGCUGAGCAUUCUCGAAAUUUUGCGCAUUUAGAGUUUAGUUGGCGGGUUAUGAUUUUUUUCAAGCACGCAAAUUGUUAAGGCUAGUUUUGUUCAAAAAAUUUCUAGCUUUGGUUUUGAAACUGCUGUCCCUCUGCCCCCUGCAGCAGGGUAAAUCCAAUUAUCUAGAUGAAAGCCAUGAGAGAUGUGCAAUCAUUGUUUUUAUAUUCUAACCAUUUACCGGGGAAUUUACAAAGAGCAGAACUAAAUCUAGGAAUCAAACCUAAACGUGAACAAAUCAACGAAUUUUUUUAGAACUUUUAUACUAGGUCUCCUUACUGCAACCUAAACAGUUUUAAAAACAAGUCACAGAGCUAAUAUAGGCAGAUUUAAAAUCAAUUAUGUACUGUAUACCCAAUCAUCAAGCUUGUAGCAUACAGUACAGCAUACACAGUAACAGUACAAUUGAAUUGGAUGGGAGCAUAUCUGAGUCCAAAAUUUAAAAGAGUAUCGUUGAACGAAACCUUCCAGUUUCCUUUUGGGGGGUCUUAAUAUUUGUGUAGAUUUUGAUUUAAGAGAUUCGAAAAAAAUGGAGAAUAUGAAGAAACUAAAUAAAAUAAUAUUUCAUAACAAAAGUAUUGAUAUUCAAAAACUGCCUAAAUCCAUUCGUGAAACUUGAAUUCCAAAACUGGUUUUCAUAACGAUACCCUGUCUUAAAUUUUGGGCUCUGACCUUUUUUGUUGUACACUGUACAGUGCACACUGUGAACCUUUAAUCGUACAUAAAUUCUAUUGUACAGCGAACUUAACUAAACCACAGUUGUACUGCACUGCUAUGUACUCGAUAGUCCCUAAUGUAAUGUAAAUGGUAUCAAUAUGAUGCUGAUGUUGAUUAAUCUUUAGUCUCGAAAAUUUUAGUUUUUUCUCUGUUGUUAUUUUUUUACAGUGAGCUCCAAUAAUCAUGGGAAUGUGAGAAACUUAAGGUCAUAUUUUACUAAAAAUAUAGAAACAAAACGUAUUUGAAUUUUUAAGUUUUAGAUACAAAACAUUUAACAUUUAAACAUUUAAAAUAAUGAUUUUAACUCAAACUUUAACGUUGUUUAACCUUAACCACGCAAUCUUAAACUUUUAAUCAUUUCCCAUGUUUUUUCGGGGCUCUCUGCAUUUUAAUCCUUUCUGUAAAUUUCAAUGAAGACAUACAAUAAUUCGGCCAAAUCUAUAUUUGGUUCCACAGUUGGCACUAGAAUGUAUUUAUGUAUUGUUGUAGAUGUUUAUAUCAAUACAAUGAAUACGACUUUUGUAUUCAACUUUUCUUUUCUAACAUUUUUUUUAAAGAAAAGCCGUUAAUGGGCAGCAUCUCUUUAUUUCUAUGUUUAUGUGUAUCCAUGCUGUUUGAAAGCUUGGUAGAAACAAUAAAUUUUAAUCGAAAGUCGUCUUCUAUUAUAUUGAUAUAUACGACGAUGAAUGUGGACAAAAUGGUGAAUAUAUUUCAAAUAAUUGAUCUAAACGUGGCCUUCUUGCACUACAUUUAAUGCAACUUAACAAUAUAUUUAUCAAAAUUGUAAUACUGAUCAAAAGUGCUAAAAGCUUUAUGCUAAAUUAUAUGUUAAAAGAAAUCAAAGUCAUCGAUUGUGGGAGGGGCUCAGGGGAAUUAAAAAAAAUAAAGUAUGCAAAAUUAAUGAUUAAAAAUUAAAAAUUGCCUUUUUAUAGCCUAUAUAUAUGAACGUAUUUUUGAAUUGUAUUUAGCACAAUUUAGAUCUAAAGAACAAAAUUAUGGCUGAAUUUUUUAAAGAACAUAAUCCAACUUUUUGACAAGGAUUUCAAAAUAUGUACACAAUGCAUGCCCUAUAUGCCCUAUAUAUAUAUAUAUAUCAUGUACACUACGCACUUAAUCUGCAUGUAAAUACGCAUUUGAACAUGCGCCUAUGUCGCGUAAUAGCGAGCUAUCUAGCACAUGUAACCCCCCCCCCGUCACAAUGGAAUUGUUUUUACACGAUAUUUCUCGCCUGUAUUUGUAUUUUUGUUAAUUUGCUCAGAAUUCUUAAAUUCUAAGAUGAAUGUUAACUUAAUGUGGUUAAACCUCGUAUUAUAAAUAUUGUUACGUACAUGUUUGAUGCAUCAAAUAAAUAUUUAUCCCCGUGAA